CGUGUAGGCGGUUUAAUAAGUCAGAUGUAAAAGCCCCCGGCUCAACCGGGGAUGGUCAUUUGAAACUGUUAGGCUUGAGUGCGAGAGAGGGUAGUGGAAUUCCCAGUGUAGCGGUGAAAUGCGUAGAUAUUGGGAAGAACACCAGUAGCGAAGGCGGCUAUCUGGCUCGCAACUGACGCUAAGGCGCGAAAGCGUGGGGAGCAAACA
RNAcentral lists this ribosomal RNA (207 nucleotides) under uncultured bacterium. RNAcentral describes it as "partial 16S ribosomal RNA". It matches the Rfam family "Bacterial small subunit ribosomal RNA", at positions 568 to 774 of the family's 1533-position model. The record is from RNAcentral.